Long non-coding RNA from Sorghum bicolor (sorghum), 1873 nucleotides. RefSeq lists it as uncharacterized. Lineage: Eukaryota; Viridiplantae; Streptophyta; Magnoliopsida; Poales; Poaceae. The record is from RefSeq and is a predicted model, not a curated record. The transcript has 4 exons.
AAAAACUUCACGAUGUCAGCUGUAUUUUGUUGUCGCUGUAAUGCUGCUCUACUCAGUUCUGAUUUCGCCUGCACCGGGCACCGCGGCGAACCUUCCAGCGGGUCUGGACGCCGACCUCAGCCAGGGGCAGAGCAGAUUGAAUUCGAUUAGCACAAACAGUGGACCCGUAUGAUCCACACGCAACCCAAACGGAUCCGUCGGACGGCGGCGGUGCCAGAUUUCGCCGGCAGUAGCAGCCACAUCCCUAAUGACAUAAUCUUCUUCCAAAUUCUCAUACUGCUUCCUGUCAAGUGCCUUGUGCGCCUCCACUCCGUUUGCAAGAGUUGGCGCGCCGCUAUACUCAGCACUCAUUUUAUCCACUGCCACCUGGAGCAUUCCAGGACUAGAUUGUCAAUGGUUGUCAUGCCCCGAAGGUACGAGGUGUACCAUAAGAAGUUUGGCCUUCUUGGUGUCAAUUUCUACAGUUCCCAGCCUGGGCAAAGCAAGGUUGCCAAGCUCAUCCUACAGAAGAGGUGUCCAAGAGGGAUCCCAGUGUUCAGCAUGCCCCUGCAUUGUGAUGGAAUCAUUCUGAUCCCUUGCACGACGGGACGGAUAUUUCUGUGUAACCCAACAACCAGAGAGUUUGUUGAAUUGCCACGUGGAAGCUGUAAUGUCGCCGGGGGGGCAUAGGGUCGCCUUUGGUCGUGACCCUUGUACUGGCAAGUAUAAGGUUGCUAGGCACUUCUUCCGCUCAUACGCCGAAACCCCACAGGAAGAUGGGGAAGGCACGAUUCUAGAAUACAGUGCUGGGCAUGAGAUCUUGACCAUUGGUGCUGGAGUAGAUGCAUGGAAAUGGAAGGCGACCAUGGAUCCACCUUAUGCUAUCAAUGCCAGGACUCCAAUUUGUCUUCCUGGGUUAUUCUAUUGGAGCGCUCUCCACUCCAUCACGGGCCAUGGCCAUAACAAGGGUUUUCUAAGCAACAAUGACACGUAGUGCGAGCUUGGUGGCAAGUUAUGCUAUGUCCACUCUUCCUCACCAUGGAAUGUGGACAUUUGGUUGGCAGAGGAUGGACCAAACCUUGCUUGGCUUGCCGUCUCCGCUUGCCCCUGCCAAGGCUGUUUACCGUUUUUGCUUGUGCUUCGGCUGAUAGAGACAAGAUAUUUCUGUCCAUUGAUGCCAGUUACCUCUUGAAAUGUGAUCUACGUAAUGGAUCAGUUGAGAAAAUAAUCGACAUGGCAGACUUGGUGUACGACAAUCAGGAUGGAACAAAAUUCUGCACGGGUGUGCAUUCUGUUGUACACUACAUGGUUCCUUGUGUGGAAUCACUUUUGCGUAUUAGACCAUGGUAAUAUUGAGCAAGCAGAUAUUGUAUGGGAUCAAUAAUAGCUGUAAGCUUAGAUGCACCUUGCCCUUGUGGAGAAAUGGUGAACCAAAAAGUAAUGUUCAUCACUUCAUCUAAUCCAUUCUACUGUAUGUGGGCUAAUUUUCGGACACUUGGACCAAAAGGUAAUGUUCAUCUGAUCCAUUCUACUGUAUGUGGGCUAAUUUUCGGACACUAUCCAGCAAUGCAAGGUACGGUACCUGAAUCUCAGUUUUUAUGGCUCUGAGCCUGAACGACUUGGGAUUGAUCUGAACUGGAACCAGGAGGAGCCAAACGAGUUCCCCGUCCUGGCCCAGGAGCUGCCGGAGGUGGCCAGCAUGCCCGGGCGGACGGUGUUCCUGACGUCGGUGAAUGAGUCGUGGGCGCCGCCGAUGAUUAUUAUUGCUGGGCCCGUUUGGUAUCAGAGAAUGAGACUCCCUCGAAAGAAUCCGAUGGGAACGAUUAGGCCUUGUUUAGUUUGCGAAUUUUUUUGAUUUCGACUACCCUAGCAUUUUCAUUUGUAUUUUGAUAAU